CAGUAGCCGCGGUAAUACGUAGGUGGCAAGCGUUGUCCGGAAUUAUUGGGCGUAAAGCGCGCGCAGGCGGAUCGGUCAGUCUGUCUUAAAAGUUCGGGGCUUAACCCCGUGAUGGGAUGGAAACUGCCAAUCUAGAGUAUCGGAGAGGAAAGUGGAAUUCCUAGUGUAGCGGUGAAAUGCGUAGAUAUUAGGAAGAACACCAGCGGCGAAGGCGACUUUCUGGACGAAAACUGACGCUGAGGCGCGAAAGCCAGGGGAGCGAACGGGAUUAGAUACCCCCGUAGUCCCUGUCUCUUAUACA
This 301-nucleotide ribosomal RNA is filed under the name uncultured bacterium. RNAcentral's name for it is "partial 16S ribosomal RNA". It matches the Rfam family "Bacterial small subunit ribosomal RNA", at positions 509 to 809 of the family's 1533-position model. The record is from RNAcentral.